Fusobacterium mortiferum ATCC 9817 is the source of this 117-nucleotide non-coding RNA. NCBI's taxonomy places the organism in Bacteria, Fusobacteriati, Fusobacteriota, Fusobacteriia, Fusobacteriales, Fusobacteriaceae. The record is from Rfam.
CUUGGUGAGAAGAGCUACGGGGGUACACCCAGAAACAUUCCGAACUUGGAAGUUAAGCCCGUAAACGCUGAAAGUACUUGGAGGGAAGCCUCCUGGGAGGAUAGGAACUUGCCAAGC